UUAUUAGAUAUGCUCUAAGUUCACACGAAGCGAAAACUUCCCUCUCUUAGUAUUCACCUCGCUCUUUGCGUGGGAAAUUUGGUGACAAGUCCUUGUCGUCCUUCCACACCCGGAUCCAAUCAAGAAAUUCCCCCCGGAUAGCACGGCGAUCCCAGAGAAGGUAAACACUUUAAGGUGUCAUAUGUAGCUAAUGUGGCUGGCAAAAGUUGGUGCGAUCUGCACGAAAAUGAAAUGGAGACCUCGCCUGAAUGGAGGUGACCACAGCAGGAUAUCGCAUGUGUUGGCAGGACAUAAAUUCAAAUUUGUAACACAACUUGUUUCGGACAAUGGAACUGAAAGUGGCGGUAGUGCGAGCGGAAAAAUUGAAAUUAAAAACUUGUGCUGUUCGAGAGUAUGACAAUAACAAGGCACCCACAUCAAGCAUUUGUCCUGUCGGCAUUUGCCUUUCACUCCAUCUCCAUUUGCCCCUGUCUAUGUGUGUGAGUACAAAUGUCCGUUGUGCAUAUGUGUGCGCCGCCAUUGCUGUAUGAAUAUUCGUGUGGCACUCGCUCGUUUAUUUGCUCGCAUUACAAUUACCAAAGGACCAAAAGGACCUAGACGCCCGUACACGUACGCAAUUUGUUUGCACACCUCCACCUCCAAGGGAACAGGACAUAGGACACAGGACACAACAGGAUGCAGGAGCAGCAGCAGGACUAGUGUUAGUUUGCCCAGUUACACAAACAAAUUAAUUUCGGCCAGACAUUCGAAAUGUUUAGCACAUUGGGCAACGUUUGUAAUUGAAUAUCGUUGGGGGACUCGACGAAAAUUUCACAGCCGAAACACCAGUCAGUGGGUCAAAUUAUGCAAAACUAAUUAUGAUUAUGCGAUGAGCAUCGCAUUGUCAAUGGGCACGCCCACUCGAAAUCGAGGCCAGGGUGUCACAAUAAUGCGUCAAAUGACGCGUGGCCAUCGCCAUUCACUAGAGAAUUCCAUUACAUGGAUAAAAAUAUUCAAAUAACAUGAAAAACACGAAAAUGCUAAAUGUGUUAUUAGAGCCAGCUAAUUGGUGUUGUAUCAAAUUAUUGAUGACACUGAAUGAUGAUGACCGAAGCAUCAGGAUUCUAAAGAGUAACCUCUGCCGUAAUAACGAAAAUUGACAGCCUGUAUUAUGCAAAAUGAGACUGGUUAAUAAUUUUCCAGUUUGAAAUUAUUUCACAAACUUUGUUGACUUGAUCAAUAAAAGAGAUGGGCAGACAACCUAGAAAUAACGAACAUAAUGCCAACU
Non-coding RNA from Drosophila melanogaster (fruit fly), 1267 nucleotides. The record is from Ensembl. Lineage: Eukaryota; Metazoa; Arthropoda; Insecta; Diptera; Drosophilidae.